GGGGCCUAUUGAAACAGGUGACUGACAGUGAGCAGAGCACGCUGUUUGAAGAGUCUGCUCGUCCUGGCCGAUGCUGCACGCUAAACAUGGAUUUUCGAAAAAAAACUUUAAAAGGUCCAUAAGCCAGAUGGUGGAAUGCUGUCCUGUUCUUUUUACAGAAGAUCAGGUGUUCAUGGAGUUCAACAGGAUUGUGGGAAAGAACAUAAAGCAGGAAUUCUAUGAAAGCAUUAAUCGACACAGUCUUCAUCUAAUUGAUAUCUUUCGAUCUAAGAGAGGGAAUGUUGGACAGCUGUUGACGCCGCUUUCACAACAAAAGACUCCGAUGGUGAUCACUCAUUUUGCCACCUUGACUUUGGGAUCCCCCUUGUUGAGCAUGAAGGUGCUGUGCUCCCAUCUUCUCUUCAUCUCAAUCCAGCUUCAAUUAAGAUCAUCAUUGAGGGAGAAGUUGUGAUGGAAGGUAUUAAAGACUUGCUAAAAGCUGUGUGCAUUCUCUUUGGACUUGCAUAUGCACUGUAUCUCAACUACCCCAAAUCAAUGAAGAACACAUUCCAGUUCACCCAACAAGUACUUCUCAUGUUGGGCCACAGUGAACUAAAACACAGCUUACAAGUACAUUGAGUACAUUGAAGUGUUUCCUUUUUUUCUUUUUUGUCAACAAUAAAAAAAAAAUAAAUAAAAAAAAAACAUUGAAAUGUUCUUAUUGUUUAAUUUCUUCAAAUUAAUACAAAAAAAAUAAAUAAAUGUAAGUAGUAUCAUUUUUUAAAUUAUAAGACAUUACUUAAAUAUAACAUUUCUACUUAAAAUCAUUUGUUUAACUUAAUAGUUAUUUUAUAAAACGUAUGCUCAAAAUAAUGUGAACUAAUGAAUUUCAGUAAAGACUACUAAUAUAAACUUGAUUUGUCUACUGCACAACUUAGGAUUUUAUGUUCAUACAACUUAACCUGUUUAGAUUCAUCUUGUGUAAAAACUAAAAUGGAUUAGUGCAACGGGUUUCCACGCAAAUUUCUAGUAAAGUCAACUAAUUCGGGUUAAGAGUGUGCUGCCUCCUGUUGCUCCGCAUGGCUUGUGUCCUGUGCUGAGAAUUCUUACUUUGUUCUGUUGUUGUCGUUGUGGCAUUAUGAUGUCCUUGUCCUGUAACUGUAUUUUAUUUAUUUAUUUAUUUUUUUCUUUGUUUGUUUGUUUUUGUUUUAAAGGUUUUAAAACAUCUAGCCAAAGGACUGAGGUUGAAAAUUAGCCAGCUGGUGUCACGUAUAGUUUUGGGUUUUGUUUUCAUGUUUAUGAUUACAUGUCUUUUAUUUGGUAGUUUGGUUCAUGUUGCUUGUUUGUGUCAUGCUUCCCUUGCUCCUCAUGUUCUCCCUUAGUCUAUGUGUCAUGUUCUCAUUGGUUGUUUAUGGUCAUGUGUUUCUGAGUUCUGUUCUGUCAUUGGUUCCCCUGUUCCUUGUGUCACUUCCCCAUUGGUUGUCUUAGUCAUGUGUUCUCUUAGUUCUUGUAUUUAAAACCAUUGUCUUCCCCAUGGUAGUUUGUCGUGUAUUGUUAAUGUAACCCUGCUGUCGGUGAGUGUUAUGUUCAAGUCAAGUCUGUUCAAGUCAAGUCUGUUCAAGUCAAGUCUGUUCAUGUUCAUGUCAACUGGUUGCUUUGUUUGUUUGUUCACUCUGAUACAAUAAACUGCACUUGGGUUCAUCAUCUCGCCUUCAGUUUGGACUGGAUCGUUACAGCUGGCUAAC
Long non-coding RNA from Ctenopharyngodon idella (grass carp), 1724 nucleotides. RefSeq lists it as uncharacterized. Lineage: Eukaryota; Metazoa; Chordata; Actinopteri; Cypriniformes; Xenocyprididae. The record is from RefSeq and is a predicted model, not a curated record. The transcript has 4 exons.